AUAUUUCUCUUACCUAGACCAAGAGGAUCAAAACCAAAAUCUCCAGGUAGGCUGCAUAGCAGAAUUAAAAUCUAACUUCAGCAACAUAGUGUUACUGUGCUCUUACUUGAAAAAAAAUAUGUACACAAAAAUAAAAAAGACUGCUCUUAUGUUAAUUUGUAAUAUCAUAUAGUGGACUACAAAUGAAAUCAUCAUCAGACCUUCCAUCAAGCCAUGGAGGAGGGGUGCUGCCAGGGAACCAGAGGGGCCUUUCAGGGUCAGCUACAGCGCAAACAGUACUGACUGAUCGUGUUCCAGCUGGUGCGGUAAACUUGCUCACUCUCAGUCUUCUCCCACCAAGAAAAGAAG
Molecule: long non-coding RNA, 348 nt
Filed under: Panax ginseng (ginseng)
Lineage: Eukaryota; Viridiplantae; Streptophyta; Magnoliopsida; Apiales; Araliaceae
Description: long non-coding RNA (PGIN_LNC012151)
Source: RNAcentral